This is a long non-coding RNA of Portunus trituberculatus (swimming crab), 671 nucleotides long. RefSeq lists it as uncharacterized. The record is from RefSeq and is a predicted model, not a curated record. NCBI's taxonomy places the organism in Eukaryota, Metazoa, Arthropoda, Malacostraca, Decapoda, Portunidae. The transcript is spliced from 4 exons.
GGAGUAGGCUCCUGUGGCGCCAGUGGAGAAGCUUUGUGGCAAGCUGGUGGAGGAGGUGUUGGUAGCGAGUGUGAAGGGUGGUGAGGUGUAGGGUGUGGAGGGCCUCCUGGCUCAGGCGUGUAGAUGGGAGCAGGAGAAGAAAGAACAAAGGAAGAGGACGAAGAAGAAAGGAAAAAUGGAAGUGGAAGAAGAGGAGGAGCCAAGCCACAAUAUUUAGGUCCGCAGAAAACGACACGCUGAUUUAUUUGAAGUCAAGGAUGGAGAUUAAAACGGCCUUUAAAAACACCACACCCGUUUUGUCCACCGCCAUCACCACCUUCUCCCAGAUCAAGGAAGUGUAUUACGGACUCACACAAAAGGAAGAGGUGAGUACCCGUAUCACAGGUCACACCGUGGGACUGACACCGCUGCAGCAACCCUUCGGAAUAAAGUCAAGUACAAAUUACGGUUUGCUAGGCGUUAGGUGUUAGGCAUAGGGCGAUAGGCGGCGCGGCUAACCAUUCUCUUCCAGGUACAUGUUAAUUAUCUAGUCUUCUUCAGUAAUGCCCUGGUUACUUUUGGCUAAAAUAAGCGUCUUGUGUGUGUGUGUGUGUGUGUGUGUGUGUGUGUGUGUGUGUAUAUGUAUUUACCUAGUUGUAGUUUUACAGGGCCUGGGAUUUAUGUUCGUGUGG